UGCGGACCCAUGUUGGCUGAAGCGCCCAGUUUGUGCGUUCAGAUCUGGGAGGAUUUCAUCAAGGAUUAGGCACCUCGGAGGUUACAAAGGAGAAAAUGGGCACACCCAGGACUAAAUCCUUCUCCAAAGGUCAGAGGUGAAAUAGGACUUCUGAUUUUGUGGGGAAACAGAACAAAAAAAUGCUUGUUUGCAAAUAAACAUCUGAAAGAGUAUAGUAACAGCUGAUCUGGGCCGAGGCAUCAAAACAA
This is a long non-coding RNA of Microcebus murinus (gray mouse lemur), 248 nucleotides long. RefSeq lists it as uncharacterized. The record is from RefSeq and is a predicted model, not a curated record. Lineage: Eukaryota; Metazoa; Chordata; Mammalia; Primates; Cheirogaleidae.